This is a small nuclear RNA of Erinaceus europaeus (western European hedgehog), 107 nucleotides long. Lineage: Eukaryota; Metazoa; Chordata; Mammalia; Eulipotyphla; Erinaceidae. The record is from Ensembl.
GUCCUAGCUUCGGUAGCACAUAUACUAAAAUUGGCAUGAUACAGAGAAGAUUAGCAUCGCCCCUGCUCAAGGAUUACACACAAAUUCAUGAAGCCUACCAUAUUUUU